RNAcentral lists this unclassified non-coding RNA (232 nucleotides) under soil metagenome. RNAcentral describes it as "partial internal transcribed spacer 1". The record is from RNAcentral.
UUGAAUUUUAAUGAAGAGUUUGGUUGUAGCUGGCCCAUUCAUUUGGGCAUGUGCACACCUUCCUCUUUCAUCCCACACACACCUGUGAACCUGUGAGACAGAGAUGGGGAAUUUACUUGCUGCUUUUUGGAAUACAAAGGCAAUAGGUUAUUGGACCCCCCCUCUGUCUACUCAAUUAGUAUAAACUCAGUUUAUUUUAAAACGAAUGUAAUGGAUGUAACACAUCUCAUAC